This 253-nucleotide ribosomal RNA is filed under the name uncultured bacterium. Its description in RNAcentral is "partial 16S ribosomal RNA". It matches the Rfam family "Bacterial small subunit ribosomal RNA", at positions 524 to 776 of the family's 1533-position model. The record is from RNAcentral.
UACGUAGGGUGCGAGCGUUAAUCGGAAUUACUGGGCGUAAAGCGUGCGCAGGCGGUUCGUUGUGUCGGUGGUGAAAUCCCCGGGCUUAACCUGGGAAUGGCCAUGGAAACUGGCGAACUGGAGUGCGGCAGAGGGGGGUGGAAUUCCGCGUGUAGCAGUGAAAUGCGUAGAGAUGUGGAGGAACACCGAUGGCGAAGGCAGCCUCCUGGGCCAGCACUGACGCUCAUGCACGAAAGCGUGGGGAGCAAACAGG